GGUCUCGGGGCUGGUAGUAGCGCUGCCUGCAAACCAGCACCAAGGCUGCAAACGAAGCCAGAAAGAUGGUGGCCAGCACACCUAUGGCAACUAUCACCACGGUCUCCAUGCUUCCGGGGAGCUCCUGACUCAGUCCCGUUCACAUCGUCCUCAUGGGCUAAGGCUGCUGGAAGUGGCAAACUGGGGGAAGAGGAUGGCAGGAGCUAGGUUCCUCCACGACACCUCCAGAGACCUGAGGGCCUCAAGCUGCAGCUCCGGGGCACAUCCCGCUGCGCUCCCACGACGGCCCCGCGGAUGGCAAAGCAUCGCCUAUGCAGGCAAUCAAAGGAUGUUGAUGGAUAAGUGUUUCAGGCAGAAUAAUGGCCCUCAAAGAUGUUGACACCAGAAUCUUCAGAACCUUUGCAUAUGUUACCUAACAUGACAAAAGGGACUUUGCUGAUGUGAUUAAGGUUAAGAACUUUGAGAAGGGAAGAUUAUCCUGGAUUAUACAGGUCGACGUUUAUUUCUUUCUGAACUUUCCUGGAGGAUCAUCGGCCAUACUCCAGCAGAAGGGUGGAUUUGAAAAAAUAACGUUUCCACGGCAACAGUGGCAGCAAUUCAAAGGAAGACGUUGGAGAAUUCACAUGCUAUUUUAGCUGGCUCUGUGAUUGCAAUCACACAAAUCAUUACAUUCCAGCGAGAUCCCAUCAACAGAAGGUUUUUCCAUUUCAGUCUGUCAAGCAAGUAUGUUUUCUUAUUGACUCAAAGUGAUUGCAUCUAAAAUAUGAUAACAAGACAGGAUUCUCACUGCCGUAUCUCCCGAUGCCAAUCUCCAAGGAGAUACUCCCAAAGUCCCAUCCAGUUAUAUCAUCAGGUUGAAAUUCCAGGAUCUCUUGGUGAUGGGUAGUUAUCUCCAAGUGUGGCUCCUGGGGUCAGAUCACCUACAGUCUAAGAGAAGGUUCUUUUUCUCCGCCAAUGGUGAUAGAUUUGGCACCAAAAAAAGAAGAGAAGAAACAUGACAGUCAUUGUUUCCACAGUGAUGAGUAAACAGAAACAUCUGAUAACUUCCACCUAGUGCAUGGAGAGCUAGAAUUUGAAGUAGGGCUGACCAAUACCAAAGCCUGAUGUCUAGUGAAAUUCACACAAUGCUGCAAAUCUGAAGACUCUGCAGCAGAUUUUGUAGGUACUUUCAGCAGAGGAGUUUCAGAAAUGCUUUGCACAAACACAGGUUCACCAAGUGAGUGAUCACACGGGAAGACCACGUGGGAAGAUUUUAGGUUGUUUUAUUAAAGUUCAUUGCUGAGAACACAAAGGCUGAUGCCACAGAGGGGAAAACGCCAGAUCCACCACCGAACAGCUAAAGCCAUAUGCGCCUGCUCCAUGAAUGCCCAUUUUUCAUCUUUAGUGGGCUUCAAAGUUAAAUAGCACAGACAACACAAAGGAAAAUAUGACCGCAGCAAAAGACAGAAA
This 1449-nucleotide long non-coding RNA is filed under the name Homo sapiens (human). RNAcentral's name for it is "long intergenic non-protein coding RNA 1500". The record is from RNAcentral. Lineage: Eukaryota; Metazoa; Chordata; Mammalia; Primates; Hominidae.